UACAGCUGGCCCGUUUGCGGAAGACCGCACU
Molecule: small RNA, 31 nt
Filed under: Bombyx mori (domestic silkworm)
Lineage: Eukaryota; Metazoa; Arthropoda; Insecta; Lepidoptera; Bombycidae
Description: ovarian small RNA-20287
Source: RNAcentral